ACUCAUUUUUGAUUUGGUCACUUGCCCUCUCACUAGUUAAAAAUUUAAUGGAAAUGGUGGGGUGAGCUUUUUUUUACUUGGUAUAAUAAUAUAUUUAGUCCUUAACACUUAUACAUUCUAUCAAAUAAGCUCUAAUUCUAAGCAGCAAAUUUAAUCUAAAUUCUAUCAAUUUAAUACUCCAACAAUACUAUUAAUUUGAGGAAUGACUGAGAAAUGGCAGUUUGAGUUUUUUUUCCUGCUUAUAAUUGACUAUGUAUGUAACAACUUGUCAAAUAAAAUGACAAAAAAAAAAAAGAAAUAAAAUAUACGUAAUAGGCCAAUUAACCCAAGCCUAGACUAAACCCAAAUGAGCCCAAACAGUAGCCCGAAACCAAUAGCAGAGGAAGGAUCGGGAAACCCUAGUAGCAGUUUCGCGCGUGUGCCAGUGGCUGUCACUUUCCACGCACGUCGUGCACGUCUCCUCCAGUGUCCCUGAAACGGAUCACAAACUGCAGCAAAGGCAAGGAAAAUGGGGUAACAGAAGAUAAAAGGGGAAAAUUACAACAAAUGCAAGGGGGUUUUUGGAGAGUUCUUUUUGGUCUGUUAUUUUGGGGGAAUAAAAGGUCGAUUUUCAAUCGGUAAAAGGGGGAGAAAAUGGAUACAAAAUUGGUGUGAGGAAUAUUGUGUCGAAAACUAUUGAAAAAAAAGAGAGAGAUAGCAAUUUAAGGGUGAUUUGCUUUUACUUUUUUCGAAUUUUCUUCAUUUUUUUUCUGAUCUU
RNAcentral lists this long non-coding RNA (757 nucleotides) under Gossypium raimondii (Peruvian cotton). Its description in RNAcentral is "long non-coding RNA (GRAI_LNC011079)". Lineage: Eukaryota; Viridiplantae; Streptophyta; Magnoliopsida; Malvales; Malvaceae. The record is from RNAcentral.